Long non-coding RNA from Dendronephthya gigantea, 1064 nucleotides. RefSeq lists it as uncharacterized. The transcript has 3 exons. The record is from RefSeq and is a predicted model, not a curated record. NCBI's taxonomy places the organism in Eukaryota, Metazoa, Cnidaria, Anthozoa, Malacalcyonacea, Nephtheidae.
GAUUAGAAUUAUUGCGAAAUACAUGAUGGCACACGCAAACUCGCUCGCGGACAACCACGCUGAUAUCCAAGACUGAUGUAAAAAUGCUUUGACAAAGAUUGAAGAAAAUACGGGAAAGCGCUAUAGAACAGGCAUGUUUUCAUCAAGUAGAUAAAACGAAUCAACCAGGUGGUUCUGACGUUGGUGAUCAAAGUGUCGCGCAACAGCGAGGUUCCUUGCCUCGGAGGCUGUUAUUCGUGUCGCCUUUUUUGCCCAGACGGGAGAAAAUGGUGUUGCCGGUUGUGAGCGCGAAAUUUAAAACGAAAUUGGUCUCUGGAAUAGAAAGAAGUUGUUGAAUCGUCACAUAACAAAAAUCAAUUUUUGAACAGAAAUACUGUGUCAUAUAUGGGAAUACUUUAUUAAAGGUGAUAAGUUGGACAGAAUAGUUGACAAAAGAUCAAGUCGUAACCAAUAUAUAAAUAAAGUAAAAUAUAAUUAAAUUAUUACCUUUUAGCCCUACCCCUCCAUGCAAAUUCGAUUGAAUUCCAGAUCACGGAUGCACAAAUGUUUCCAUGCAGGUUAUAGGCGUUGUAAUAAUACAGUACUGUCCAGAAAUAACACUGCGGUUGCGGUUCGGUGGCAGUUCCGUUGCGGUUAGGUCGCGGUUCUGUUGCGGUCGACCGAUAGAAACCGCAGACGACUGCAAGGAAAAAAUACUUCACAUGGUCGUUCGCUUCCGAGCAAAGUAUUAUGAACAGCUGAGAACGAAAACACAAUAAGCAAAGCGAAAAAAUGUUGAGAAAUGUUUUUCAGACCGAGUUAGACUGAGGUUUAACCUCCGUCUCACCGCGGUUUGACCUCGGCGAGACCUCGGUUUAACAGCCGAUUAGACCGAGGUUUGACCUAGCUUAACCGCGGGUUUUGUUAGCCGGUUAUUUCUGGACAGUAUACUGUGGGUAUUAUAGAAGGAGUGCCCCUAUAAAUGGAUAAGAGACGAAAAAUUCAGUAGAAUGAUGGAAUUGUAUAAGGCGUAGCCUAUUAUCACUAGAAAUAUACAUUCUUAUACCGCAAAGCAAAUAUUAAUA